GGUGGCUCAGUGGUAGAGUGCUUGCCUUGCAUGCAUGAAGCCCUGGGUUCGAUUCCUCAGUACUA
Molecule: transfer RNA, 65 nt
Filed under: Dipodomys ordii (Ord's kangaroo rat)
Lineage: Eukaryota; Metazoa; Chordata; Mammalia; Rodentia; Heteromyidae
Rfam family: tRNA
About the family: Transfer RNA (tRNA) molecules are approximately 80 nucleotides in length. Their secondary structure includes four short double-helical elements and three loops (D, anti-codon, and T loops).
Source: Rfam by way of RNAcentral